GUCUACGGCCAUACCACCCUGAACGCGCCCGAUCUCGUCUGAUCUCAGAAGCUAAGCAGGGGCGGGUCUGGUUAAUACUUGGAUGGGAGACCGCCCGGGAAUACCGGGUGCUGUAGGCU
This is a ribosomal RNA of Macaca fascicularis (crab-eating macaque), 119 nucleotides long. Lineage: Eukaryota; Metazoa; Chordata; Mammalia; Primates; Cercopithecidae. The record is from Ensembl.